UUACUUUCGGAUGCGGCCUGC
Molecule: non-coding RNA, 21 nt
Filed under: Arabidopsis thaliana (thale cress)
Lineage: Eukaryota; Viridiplantae; Streptophyta; Magnoliopsida; Brassicales; Brassicaceae
Source: RNAcentral